UUAUGGGUUCGACCCCCAUCGUGAGUGCUUUGUUUCUUCCGUGAUAGUUUAAUGGUCAGAAUGGGCGCUUGUCGCGUGCCAGAUCGGGGUUCAAUUCCCCGUCGCGGAG
RNAcentral lists this transfer RNA (109 nucleotides) under Saccharomyces cerevisiae YJM470. RNAcentral's name for it is "tRNA-Asp". The stretch from base 38 to 109 matches the Rfam family "tRNA". Rfam says of the family: Transfer RNA (tRNA) molecules are approximately 80 nucleotides in length. Their secondary structure includes four short double-helical elements and three loops (D, anti-codon, and T loops). Further hydrogen bonds mediate the characteristic L-shaped molecular structure. tRNAs have two regions of fundamental functional importance: the anti-codon, which is responsible for specific mRNA codon recognition, and the 3' end, to which the tRNAs corresponding amino acid is attached (by aminoacyl-tRNA synthetases). tRNAs cope with the degeneracy of the genetic code in two manners: having more than one tRNA (with a specific anti-codon) for a particular amino acid; and 'wobble' base-pairing, i.e. permitting non-standard base-pairing at the 3rd anti-codon position. The record is from RNAcentral. Lineage: Eukaryota; Fungi; Ascomycota; Saccharomycetes; Saccharomycetales; Saccharomycetaceae.